AAAAAACCCAGGGAGCAGCCACCAACUUUCGGUACAAAACUUAAUAUUUUCUCUGGUAAGCGAUUACAGCUAUCCUGUAAGCGAUUACACGGUNUCCUAAGGCACAUUUCUCACAAUUCCCCAUACCUCGCUUUGGUUCAAACAAUAGGCUACCAACUUUGUAUUCAUUUCAUAUAACUUUAUACAAUAUUGACAAAGUUUUAAAUACAUCAAGUCAAUGCUAGCCCCCUUUCCACACUUCCUCACAACACUUCAAUGGCGGACGGACGUGAGAGCGUUCGGAAGGCGAAAAUAACGAAACCUUUCGAUUAAUGUCUUCAACGAUGAAAUAAAAUCCAAAAAAAACCUUUCCUUCCGACAACAGCUGACAAUGCUAACAUUCAAUAUGCAACUUCAAUACUUCAAUGGUGGACGGAUAUGCACGAACACGAUUUCGGUGGUGUGCAAACAUUUCAGAAUGCUGGAGGGAGAGUUUGGUUUCCUGGAGAGAGAUAAGUGUUGUCGUGGAGAGAGAGCGUAUCGGUGGCGCCAAUACAAUUCAUUUCCAGCAAACACUUUUCCACAAAUGCCCUUCCCCUAAGAAUUUUUCAUUUUAAAAA
This 599-nucleotide long non-coding RNA is filed under the name Vigna radiata. RNAcentral's name for it is "long non-coding RNA (VRAD_LNC006177)". Lineage: Eukaryota; Viridiplantae; Streptophyta; Magnoliopsida; Fabales; Fabaceae. The record is from RNAcentral.